GAGCUCGAGUUCUGAAAACUGGCGUCUACGUCGGCGAAGAUCAUCGCGGACGAACCUAUAACAUCUUGGAGUCUUAGAGAUUUUACAUUUUGGAAACAUCAAGCGAUCGGGAAUGGAAUCAGGCGAUUCCAUCACGAUUUCAAUGAGACUCUUUCAAGGCUGCUGGAGGAUGGAGAGAAGCAGGGAAGUGCACAAGUCUGCAGUAUCCCGAGUUCGGUGAAUCGAAUAACAGUGGGCAUCAGCGUUGUGCUCGGACACGUCUGCGGUAUAUCGGUUUUGAGAAGCUGCCGCUGUGCAACGGAUUUGCAGCAUGUCGUUGCAGGUAUAAGAUACUGAGGCAGUUCAGCGCAGCCCACGUCAGAUAAGGCAUCAUCAGGCUGUAACAUGCCUUCUGACAGAAGCGGCGAACCUCUUCGUCUGGACGGGACGGGACAACGGGGGACGGAACUUGGGAGCUAGCACGCGAAGCAUGGACGCCGCAAACUGCGACACAUAGGGCAGAGUUUAUUCAGGUUCGACUAGUUAGCUGGCAGGUGCGACCCUGCAGGAGAUGGAGAGAUGGAGAGGCCUGGUAGGGGUCUCCAAGAAGCAGACAGUCGUCUUCCAGGACGGCCUGCGCCUAGUCGCGGUCGCGCAAGAAACCGAGAGCACCGUCCACCGCAAUGCUAUGUGGUUCCCUUGCUUGGCGACUUUGCGACGCGGCUGCAGACUUGAGUCGACUUGCAGGGGACCCUCGGCUGACACUCGGUUCCAGGCCUCUGCAGCUCUUUAUCCCCGACUUUGUCGCGGGAUAUGCGCGUUAUCCGUGGUACGUGCCGAGCCUUGCCUUCCGCUAUCGGCUAUCCGCAGGUAGGAGGACUUGCGGAAAGAUCCUCGUCCGCUGCAUUCAAUCUUUGAUCAAUCUGUCCUCGUAGACACUGAACUGCUCCGCGUUACAGUUAUACCCAUAUUUCUUCGAUUUAUUAGAUUCCCGGCAUGCAGAUAUCGAUCC
This is a long non-coding RNA of Diprion similis, 991 nucleotides long. RefSeq lists it as uncharacterized. The record is from RefSeq and is a predicted model, not a curated record. The transcript is spliced from 3 exons. Lineage: Eukaryota; Metazoa; Arthropoda; Insecta; Hymenoptera; Diprionidae.